GAUGAACGCUGGCGGCGUGCCUAAUACAUGCAAGUCGAGCGAACAGACGAGGAGCUUGCUCCUCUGACGUUAGCGGCGGACGGGUGAGUAACACGUGGAUAACCUACCUAUAAGACUGGGAUAACUUCGGGAAACCGGAGCUAAUACCGGAUAAUAUAUUGAACCGCAUGGUUCAAUAGUGAAAGACGGUUUUGCUGUCACUUAUAAAUGGAUCCGCGCCGCAUUAGCUAGUUGGUAAGGUAACGGCUUACCAAGGCAACGAUGCGUAGCCGACCUGAGAGGGUGAUCGGCCACACUGGGACUGAGACACGGUCCAGACUCCUACGGGAGGCAGCAGUAGGGAAUCUUCCGCAAUGGGCGAAAGCCUGACGGAGCAACGCCGCGUGAGUGAUGAAGGUCUUCGGAUCGUAAAACUCUGUUAUUAGGGAAGAACAAAUGUGUAAGUAACUAUGCACGUCUUGACGGUACCUAAUCAGAAAGCCACGGCUAACCACGUG
RNAcentral lists this ribosomal RNA (497 nucleotides) under uncultured bacterium. RNAcentral's name for it is "partial 16S ribosomal RNA". It matches the Rfam family "Bacterial small subunit ribosomal RNA", at positions 28 to 507 of the family's 1533-position model. The record is from RNAcentral.